UACGUAGGGGGCGAGCGUUGUCCGGAGUUACUGGGCGUAAAGGGCAUGCAGGCGGUCGGACGCGUUUCGGGUGACAGCGGGUGGCUUAACUACCCGAGUGGUCGAAAGACGGUUUGACUUGAGGACGCGAGAGGGACACGGAAUUCCGGGUGGAGUGGUGAAAUGCGUAGAGAUCCGGAGGAACACCGAAGGCGAAGGCAGCCCCCUGGGCUAACACUGACGCUCAUGCACGAAAGCGUGGGGAGCAAACAGG
This 253-nucleotide ribosomal RNA is filed under the name uncultured bacterium. RNAcentral's name for it is "partial 16S ribosomal RNA". It matches the Rfam family "Bacterial small subunit ribosomal RNA", at positions 524 to 776 of the family's 1533-position model. The record is from RNAcentral.